CCUGUUCGAGCGUCAUAAUGACCAAAUCACCCUAUGGUGGACUUGGAGUUGGCCGUCUGGCCUCUCUUAAAAUUAGUGGCGGUGCUCUUAAGCUCUACGCGUAGUAAUUCUUCUCGCUACAGGGUCUGAUUAGUACUUGCCAGCAACCCCAAUAUUUUAAGGUUGACCUCGGAUCAGGUAGGGAUACCCGCUGAACUUAA
RNAcentral lists this unclassified non-coding RNA (200 nucleotides) under soil metagenome. Its description in RNAcentral is "partial contains internal transcribed spacer 2 and large subunit ribosomal RNA". The record is from RNAcentral.